Molecule: ribosomal RNA, 700 nt
Filed under: Actinomycetes bacterium
Lineage: Bacteria; Bacillati; Actinomycetota; Actinomycetes
Description: bacterial SSU rRNA
Rfam family: Bacterial small subunit ribosomal RNA
Source: RNAcentral
ACGGGUGAGUAACACGUGGGCAAUCUGCCCUGCACUCUGGGACAAGCCCUGGAAACGGGGUCUAAUACCGGAUAGGACUGCCGGCCGCAUGGUCUGGUGGUGGAAAGCUCCGGCGGUGCAGGAUGAGCCCGCGGCCUAUCAGCUUGUUGGUGGGGUGAUGGCCUACCAAGGCGACGACGGGUAGCCGGCCUGAGAGGGCGACCGGCCACACUGGGACUGAGACACGGCCCAGACUCCUACGGGAGGCAGCAGUGGGGAAUAUUGCACAAUGGGCGCAAGCCUGAUGCAGCGACGCCGCGUGAGGGAUGACGGCCUUCGGGUUGUAAACCUCUUUCAGCAGGGAAGAAGCGUGAGUGACGGUACCUGCAGAAGAAGCACCGGCUAACUACGUGCCAGCAGCCGCGGUAAUACGUAGGGUGCGAGCGUUGUCCGGAAUUAUUGGGCGUAAAGAGCUCGUAGGCGGCUUGUCGCGUCGGAUGUGAAAGCCCGGGGCUUAACCCUGGGUCUGCAUUCGAUACGGGCAGGCUAGAGUUCGGUAGGGGAGAUCGGAAUUCCUGGUGUAGCGGUGAAAUGCGCAGAUAUCAGGAGGAACACCGGUGGCGAAGGCGGAUCUCUGGGCCGAUACUGACGCUGAGGAGCGAAAGCGUGGGGAGCGAACAGGAUUAGAUACCCUGGUAGUCCACGCCGUAAACGUUGGGAA